RNAcentral lists this ribosomal RNA (441 nucleotides) under uncultured bacterium. Its description in RNAcentral is "bacterial SSU rRNA". It matches the Rfam family "Bacterial small subunit ribosomal RNA", at positions 954 to 1392 of the family's 1533-position model. The record is from RNAcentral.
GCAUAACGCGAAGAACCUUACCAAGGCUUGACAUCCCCUUGACCGGCACAGAGAUGUGCCCUCUCCUUCGGGAGCAAGGGUGACAGGUGGUGCAUGGUUGUCGUCAGCUCGUGUCGUGAGAUGUUGGGUUAAGUCCCGCAACGAGCGCAACCCUUAUCCUUAGUUGCCAGCAGGUAAAGCUGGGCACUCUAAGGAGACUGCCGAUGAUAAAUCGGAGGAAGGUGGGGAUGACGUCAAAUCAUCAUGCCCCUUAUGUCUUGGGCUACACACGUGCUACAAUGGUCGGUACAAAGGGGAGCGAAAGAGUGAUCUGGAGCAAAUCCCAAUAAACCGAUCUCAGUUCGGAUUGUAGGCUGCAACUCGCCUACAUGAAGUCGGAGUUGCUAGUAAUCGCGAAUCAGAACGUCGCGGUGAAUGCGUUCCCGGGUCUUGUACACACCG